GGUUGUUUAAUAAGUCUGUUGUUAAAGACUAGGGCUUAACCCUAGGAAAGCAAUGGAAACUACUAGACUUGAGUAUGAUAGGGGUAGAGGGAAUUUCUAGUGUAGCGGUGAAAUGCGUAGAUAUUAGGAAGAACACCGGUGGCGAAGGCGCUCUACUGGAUCAUUACUGACACUCAGAGGCGAAAGCUAGGGUAGCAAAAGGGAUUAGAUACCCCUGUAGUCCUAGCCGUAAACGAUGGAUACUAGAUGUUGUGUUUAUUAUGCAGUAUCGCAGCUAACGCGUUAAGUAUCCCGCCUGGGGAGUACGCUCGCAAGGGUGAAACUCAAAGGAAUUGACGGGGGCCCGCACAAGCGGUGGAGCAUGUGGUUUAAUUCGAUGCAACGCGAAGAACCUUACCAAGGCUUGACAUACUACAAAUUUUUCUGAGAAGAGAAAGUGCCUUCGGGAAUGUAGAUACAGGUGGUGCAUGGCUGUCGUCAGCUCGUGUCGUGAGAUGUUGGGUUAAGUCCCGCAACGAGCGCAACCCUUGUUUUUAGUUGCCAAUUUAUUGGGUUUUCUAGAAAGACUGCCGGUGACAAACCGGAGGAAGGUGAGGAUGACGUCAAGUCAGCACGCCCCUUAUGCCUUGGGCUACACACGUGCUACAAUGGCUAGGACAAAGAGUUGCGAGCUCGCAAGAGUCAGCUAAUCUCAUAAACUUAGUCUAAGUUCGGAUUGUAGGCUGCAACUCGCCUACAUGAA
This 742-nucleotide ribosomal RNA is filed under the name uncultured marine bacterium. RNAcentral describes it as "bacterial SSU rRNA". It matches the Rfam family "Bacterial small subunit ribosomal RNA", at positions 574 to 1324 of the family's 1533-position model. The record is from RNAcentral.